AAGGUACAGUAGGUGAUUGCUUGAGCGUUUCGCUUAAGAGGAAAGUCCGGGCUGCAUGUGAGACAUGGUUCCGUCUAACGGACGGCUAGGGUAACCUAAGGGAUUAGUGCAACAGAGAGUAAACUACCAUUAUGCCUCUCUUGCGAAAGCAUAGCUUUAGUGAGAGGAAUUGGUGACGAGCUUUGCUUGUCUCCAAGAAGACAGUUUAAUGGAAAAGGUGAAACGGUGGGGUAAGAGCCCACCAGUGCUUUAAGUAAUUAAGGCAGCUAUGUAAACCCAACCUGCAGCAAGAAGGGAUGGUUUUGGUCUCACACACGAUAAACCCUUCGCUAGAGGUCUAUCGUAAGAUAGAUCGUAGAUAAAUAAUCACCCACGACAGAACCCGGCUUAUCGCUGUACCUUUUGU
Sulfurospirillum sp. SCADC is the source of this 406-nucleotide non-coding RNA. Lineage: Bacteria; Pseudomonadati; Campylobacterota; Epsilonproteobacteria; Campylobacterales; Sulfurospirillaceae. The record is from Rfam.